AGUGAACGCUGGCGGUAGGCCUAACACAUGCAAGUCGAACGGCAGCACAGGAGAGCUUGCUCUCUGGGUGGCGAGUGGCGGACGGGUGAGGAAUACAUCGGAAUCUGCCCAGUCGUGGGGGAUAACGUAGGGAAACUUACGCUAAUACCGCAUACGACCUUCGGGUGAAAGAGGGGGAUCGCAAGACCUCUCGCGAUUGGAUGAGCCGAUGUCGGAUUAGCUAGUUGGCGGGGUAAUGGCCCACCAAGGCGACGAUCCGUAGCUGGUCUGAGAGGAUGAUCAGCCCCACUGGAACUGAGACACGGUCCAGACUCCUACGGGAGGCAGCAGUGGGGAAUAUUGGACAAUGGGCGCAAGCCUGAUCCAGCCAUACCGCGUGGGUGAAGAAGGCCUUCGGGUUGUAAAGCCCUUUUGUUGGGAAAGAAAUCUUUCAGGCUAAUACCCUGGGAGGAUGACGGUACCCAAAGAAUAAGCACCGGCUAACUUCGUG
Molecule: ribosomal RNA, 490 nt
Filed under: uncultured bacterium
Lineage: Bacteria
Description: partial 16S ribosomal RNA
Rfam family: Bacterial small subunit ribosomal RNA
Source: RNAcentral